UGGUGGAGUGAUUUGUCUGGUUAAUUCCGUUAACGAACGAGACCGCAGCCUGCUAAAUAGUUAUCGUCAUUCUUCUGGAUGAUGUCUAGUAACUUCUUAGAGGGACUAAUGGUGUUUAGCCAUUGGAAGUUUGCGGCAAUAACA
RNAcentral lists this ribosomal RNA (144 nucleotides) under uncultured eukaryote. RNAcentral's name for it is "partial 18S ribosomal RNA". It matches the Rfam family "Eukaryotic small subunit ribosomal RNA", at positions 1299 to 1458 of the family's 1831-position model. The record is from RNAcentral.